UCAAAUGCAGAUAUAAACGAGGAAUCCUGGAUUCUUGAAUGAUCCUGUGGAGCACAGCAGACCUCAGGGUGAAGAGUUCACUUAACUCAACACUGUUAAGUGAGAAUUAAGUAAACUUAUGCUGUGUUUGGCUAAGGGGGUUCAGAUCUUGUGUAGAAGAGAGGAUUAACAUUACUGAGCCCUCUCAGUCCAAUCCAGAGGGCAUCAAUAUGGUUGAGCAGAAUAACAGCACACUCUAGACAACAGAAACAACAGCCAGAGGACUGAGAAGGGAAAGACGAUUGGGAAACAGCUCAAAUAAUAUUCAAGACAUUCCAACCCCACCUUGGAACUCCCAGAGAGAUGCAAAAAAAGAAGGUGAUGUAGAUAUGCCAUAUGGCAGGUAAGGAAUAAUACUAGAACAGAUUUAAAGUUAAAUUCUUAAAGUGACUUCACCCCACCUUCAUCAGCUAAGGGAAGAUUCAGCCUGCAAUAAUCAACAAAUACUUGAAGACCUCCUGACAGGUAAAUUAUACUAUCCUGGGUGUUUUAUAGGACUUUGGGGAGAGGUAAUCUAACACCCAAUAAGUUUAUUGUCUAAUACAAUUUAAUGAAAUGUCAACUUUUCUUCCGCCAUGGAAACCACAUUUUUCCUCAGAGGUUUCCACUCAAAUUCUUUCCCGUUUUACCCCUCCUUGCGUUAUUGGUUCUGUAGCCUAGUGGAAAAGGUAUGAUAUUUUAUUUGUUUAAAGGAAUAAACCAGUGAGAUCCAGCUGAACUAUUCAAAUGACACUGAAGGACUGAAGAUUCUCAAGGAUGCAGGGUUUUGAAGAUGUUCACAAAUCAAUAUAAAGAAAUAGAGAUGAGAAGGCGGAACAAGAUGGCUGAAUAGAAGCCUCCAGCGAUUGUCCCUCCCACGAAACACCAAACAGAACAUCUAUCCACAGAAAAAAAGCAUGUUCAUAAGAACCAAAAAUCAGACGCUGAUGAACACCCACAAGCAUCAAGGCCAUCCGGGGAAACAUGAUGUCACCAAUGAACUAAAUAAGGCACCACGGACCAGUCCUAGAGAGACACAGAUAUAUUACCUUUUAGACUGAGAGUUCAAAAUAGCUGUUUUGAGGAAGCUCAACAAAAUCCAAGAUAACACA
RNAcentral lists this long non-coding RNA (1130 nucleotides) under Homo sapiens (human). Its description in RNAcentral is "HSALNT0292752". Lineage: Eukaryota; Metazoa; Chordata; Mammalia; Primates; Hominidae. The record is from RNAcentral.